CCUUGGCGGAUGCUUACCAUGCAGUCGAACGGUCUUUUCGGAGAUAGUGGCGGACGGGUGAGUAACGCGUGAGAAUCUAGCUUUAGGUUCGGGACAACCAUUGGAAACGGUGGCUAAUACCGGAUGUGCCGAAAGGUAAAAGGCUUGCUGCCUAGAGAUGAGCUCGCGUCUGAUUAGCUAGUUGGUAGUGUAAGGGACUACCAAGGCGACGAUCAGUAGCUGGUCUGAGAGGAUGAUCAGCCACACUGGGACUGAGACACGGCCCAGACUCCUACGGGAGGCAGCAGUGGGGAAUUUUCCGCAAUGGGCGAAAGCCUGACGGAGCAAUACCGCGUGAGGGAGGAAGGCUCUUGGGUUGUAAACCUCUUUUCUCAAGGAAUAAGUUCUGAAGGUACUUGAGGAAUAAGCAUCGGCUAACUCCGUGCCAGCAGCCGCGGUAAUACGGAGGAUGCAAGCGUUAUCCGGAAUGAUUGGGCGUAAAGCGUCCGCAGGUGGUGAUGAAAGUCUGCUGUCAAAGAAUCAGGCUUAACCUGAUAGAGGCAGUGGAAACUACAUGACUAGAGUGCGUUCGGGGCAGAAGGAAUUCCUGGUGUAGCGGUAAAUGGGGUAAAAAAAACGCCCUACACACUAUUGGAAUUCUGGUGUACCUC
Molecule: ribosomal RNA, 650 nt
Filed under: Nostoc sp. ISB107
Lineage: Bacteria; Bacillati; Cyanobacteriota; Cyanophyceae; Nostocales; Nostocaceae
Description: bacterial SSU rRNA
Rfam family: Bacterial small subunit ribosomal RNA
Source: RNAcentral